Long non-coding RNA from Suricata suricatta (meerkat), 442 nucleotides. RefSeq lists it as uncharacterized. The transcript is spliced from 4 exons. Lineage: Eukaryota; Metazoa; Chordata; Mammalia; Carnivora; Herpestidae. The record is from RefSeq and is a predicted model, not a curated record.
GGCUAACACUGGCAUAGAAAGGAUGUAAUUUGACCAAAGCAUCAGUGGUUGAAGGUACAAUUUGCAACAUUCCUGCUGCCACCUACAGGCAACCCUGUGCACCACCCGUGAUGUCUGGGGGAAAAGAACCCUCGAUGAUUCUCUGCCCUGCCGGUCGGGGCAGACGAAACUGGUACCACUGAACGCAGAGGUCGAGUGCGCCGGGACCUGGCAUCGGUUAAGACACCCAGCAGCCUUCCCAGGUACAUAUGGUAUGACAGCAGAAGACAGAGAUAAGCUAAGGAGAGAACUAAUUAGUUUGCAAGAAGAAACUGGACAUGAAGAAAACACAGAACUUUCUGGUUUGAAAAAUAAAAUCGUUUCACAUUUUCAGACUUUCCAGGUGGCAACUCUCAGUAUAAUCAAAGGCCUCAGGGUAAAGACCAAAUCAAGGAUAUGGAUG